AGAGUUUGAUCCUGGCUCAGGACGAACGCUGGCGGCGUGCCUAAAACAUGCAAGUCGAACGGGGGAGCAAUCCCCAGUGGCGAACGGCGGAGUAAUACAUGAACAACGUGCCCUGAAGACCGGGAUAGUCAGUGGAAACGCUGGGUAAUACCGGAUGUGGCCGUCUUGUGGCAUCACGAGACGAUUAAAUGGUUUUUCGCUUCAGGAGCGGUUCAUGGCCUAUCAGGUAGUUGGUGAGGUAACGGCUCACCAAGCCUACGACGGGUAGCGGGUCUGAGAGGACGAUCCGCUCGAGUGGGACUGAGACACGGCCCACACACCUACGGGUGGCAGCAGUUGGGAAUCUUGCACAAUGGGGGAAACCCUGAUGCAGCGACGCCGCGUGGAGGACGAAGGAUCUAGGUCUGUAAACUCCUUUUUCACGGAAAGACUUAGGACGGUACCGUGAGAAUAAGCCCCGGCUAACUACGUGCCAGCAGCCGCGGUAAGACGUAGGGGGCGAGCGUUGUCCGGAUUUACUGGGCGUAAAGAGCGCGUAGGCGGCUCGUUAAGUGUGAAGUGAAAUCUCCAGGGCUCAACCCGGAAACUGCUUCGCAUACUGGCGAGCUUGAGGAAUGCAGAGGUAAGUAGAAUUCCUGGUGUAGCGGUGAAAUGCGUAGAUAUCAGGAGGAAUACCGACGGCGAAGGCAGCUUACUGGGCAUUAUCUGACGCUGAGGCGCGAAAGCGUGGGUAGCAAACAGGAUUAGAUACCCUGGUAGUCCACGCCCUAAACGAUGGAUACUAGACGUAAGAGGUAUCG
RNAcentral lists this ribosomal RNA (800 nucleotides) under uncultured bacterium. Its description in RNAcentral is "bacterial SSU rRNA". It matches the Rfam family "Bacterial small subunit ribosomal RNA", at positions 8 to 834 of the family's 1533-position model. The record is from RNAcentral.